Molecule: long non-coding RNA, 534 nt
Organism: Pezoporus occidentalis (night parrot)
Lineage: Eukaryota; Metazoa; Chordata; Aves; Psittaciformes; Psittacidae
Exons: 3
Source: RefSeq, a predicted model, not a curated record
GGACAGUACUUCCAAGAUGCUGGAUGUGUACUACUAACAUGACAGAAGAUCAUCCACUUUUUCCUGCUGGGCUAGGUUUCUCCUAACAUUAUAUCAGACUGCUGUCCAGAACACCAACAUUCUGAACGUGAGUUGGUUUUCCACAGUCACGUGGUCAAGAGUGAAACAGAGGUAGACAUCUGUCGGAGAAGCCAAACAAAACGAAAUGGGAAAAGAAUCCGAUGGAAGAUUUUGAUCAAAACUUAGUGGCUGUGGAGAUCCUUCUCAUCCUAGUGCAUUUCCUAGCCUAUUCAUGUAGUUCUGUAUUUCUGUAGCAUCAGCAAUUUACAAGCAAGUGGUAACACAUGGUGAUGAAUCAGCUGAAUAUGAUGAGUUCAGGAAAGACACUCUGGAUCUGGGGCACUUCAGUUUUGUCCACCUUUUAGAAAUGUGGGGCUGUGUUUAGCUUGGCUAAGUCAAAGAAAUCUGUGAUGAGACACAACUCGAUCUGCUUAAAAGUAGCUGUAGAAAAGAGGCUGGUUUGACAAUAAGGGU